CUUCGAGCUGAGAAGAUGCAGAGGAAUUUAUGUGUGUUGUUACUAUUCUGUGAAACAGUUUAUUACUAAUGGAAUCGGUUUAAUAAUGGAAACAUUCUGGAGAUGAUACGUUCAGACUGGAUUAUUUUAUAAAAGAUCUGCCCUGAUGAACAAAAGAGGCAAUAUGGAGAAGUUGGUGCCCAUGCUUCUUGUCUGCUCAGUGUUCAUAAUAGAAUCAAAGACUCUGCAAUCAAACUUGAAAAAGUAUGGUACAGUUCACACCAAAGAUGAAUUACUUGCAAAGAAUCACAGUGGCCAUUAUCAAGAAACGUCAUCAUUGUCAUCGCAAAUCAGCCCAGAAAAUUGGUAUGAAUCUAGUCCUGUUUUCUUUCAACAAACUCACUAUGUUGGAUUAAUAAGUGAAAAUGAACCCAUUGGCUCAAGGGUCAGUGUCAUUGGGCAGCUUAGUGUGGCUAACUGUGUUCAUGUAAAAUAUAAAUUGCUAGGAAAUGAUGCCACAAAUUUUGAACUUGACACUAGGAAUUUCAUUUCCACUCAUAAUAAUAUAUUAUUGUCAAGAAAAUCAUUUGACAGAGAAGAUAAGAGUAGAUAUCAUUUAAUUGUGCAAGCAGAAUGUGCAGAACAAGAUGGGGUGAGUCAUACUGUAACAGCAUUAGUGGACAUUUAUAUUUUGGAUAUAAACGAUAAUGUUCCAGCAUUUCACAAUUCUUUCAUAUCAGUUCAAACAGCAUCUGAUCAGUCAUGGAAUGCAAUAGCAUCUGUGCAAGCUUCUGAUGAAGAUGAGAAUGAGAUUAUUGCAUAUAGCAUUGAAGACAAUCCAGACUUUUACAUCGAUCAAAAUAGUGGCGAACUGUUAGCAGAAUCUGACUAUCUUUACCCUGGAAGCUACAGUGUGUCUGUCACUGCUGUUGAUUCUGCAGGCCACAGGAGUAAACCCUUAAAUGUUCGAAUAGAAGUUCCGAGUAAGGUGCUCAAAUUUGAACCAGUCCACAAUCAUCAUGUGUCAAAACGUGCGAUUACAACCAUAUCCAAGAAAUAUCCAAUCCUGGAAAAUAACACCCAAUCCUUAUUUCUGUUCUCUGUCGCCACAUCCCAACCCAGGUCCUUUGCUGAGCGAUAUUCCCUUGUGUCUUCAAGUGUGGAUAUUAUUCUUCCUCCGGAUAAAGAAGGCAAUGUAUAUCUGGUACCAGGAAGGCGCCUGGACUAUGAGAAUGUCACCCAUAGAGUGAUCAACAUGGUGUUUAACAUAACCAACCAGAAUACACCGGAAGAUUUCACCUUGUGCAACGUUACAAUUGAGGUUCAGGACAAGAAUGAUGAGAGACCCGUGUUCAAGAAUGUCCCGUUCCCGUUUCUUGCGACUGUAUCAAGCAGUCCAGGCUUUGGGGAGAAUGUCUACACACUGUAUGCACAUGACCCGGACAACAACAACCGGAUCCUCUACAAUCUUGAGUCAGGUGGUGAGGGCAAGUUUGAAAUCCUCACAGAAGAAGACUAUAGCUCGGGGGAGAUGGUUGGUAAGAUCGUCACCACCGUGAGUGGUCCGGGCCAGUUUGUGUCAGGGGCCGAGUAUACACUGGUGGUCUCGGCACAGGACAUGGCCGCCGGGCUGUCUCCCGCACAGAAGUCUGAGUUUGCGGUCGUCAAGGUGCUGGUCGGGUUACGGCCGCCCCAGCUCUUUGAGAAUCCUUUUGUUGCCAAGGUGGACGAGAACAGCGGCACUGGCUACAGAAUUUUGGGUCCUGAUAACAGAAUCCUGCAAAUUCGCGCCAAACUCUUCCAAGACACUGUCUCCAACCUGACAGAAUUCAGCCUCACAGACGAGCAGGGCAAACUCUCGAGUCUGUUCAGCAUCAAUCGCCAGGGCAACAUCGAGACCCUUCAGAACCUGGACUACGAAGAACUGCCCAACCAGUAUCGACUGAAUGUCACUGUUACAGAGCUUGAGACCAAACUCUCCUCCACAGCACAGCUGGUUGUUAACGUUGUGGACAGUAACGACAACAGCCCCAAGUUUGAACUCUCCACAUACACAGCGUCAGUCCAAGAAGACAUUGCUGUUGGAGCAGCCAUUACCAUGCGAGAGGAAGUGAUUGCCACGGACAGGGAUUCUGGUCUGAAUGGAGAGAUUGAGUACUUUGUCAGUGACCCACAUUUCUCCAUCAAAACCAUGUUUGUCAACAAUCGCUAUGUGGGACGCAUCAGUGUAGCAAGACCGCUGGACUACGACAACGACACGUCCCACCAGUACACCUUCAAGGUGACUGCCCGGGACAAGGGGGAGAUAAGGCAGUCAGGUGUGGCCACUGUCAUUGUCUACGUCACCAACGUCAAUGACGAGGCUCCGGUAUUUGGUACCGGGUCUGAGCACCGGUACACCAGCAUCAGCGAGGAGCAAACCAUUGGGACUGUGGUCACCAUCGUGCAGGCUACAGACCCAGAUGGGGACAAUAUACAGUAUUAUUUCAAACCUCGGAAGACGGACAGCUACCCGUUCCAAAUUGACCCGACAUCCGGCCUCAUCAAGCUCAUUGGCUCGCUGCCAGACUCAAUUCCGUACUACACUCUGAACAUAACGGCCUAUGAUGACGGCUCCUGCUGCGGCGGGUCCCCGGUCCUGUCCAGUGACUCGUACAUCGUUGUGGAGGUCAAGGACACCAACAACAACCAGCCUCAGUUCCCCAGCUGUACGUACGCACCUCAAGUGCUGGAGAACCAGGAUAUUGGCACAGCCGUUGUGCAGGUAAGUGCCGUUGAUAACGACCGUGGCUCCAAUGGCAACAUCACCUACUCCAUAGUGAGGACCCCAAGACAACAGGAACAGUUUGCAGUGGACCCAGUCAAUGGGCGCGUAGUAACAGCGGUACAGUUUGAUCGAGAGUCCAUACCAGGCAAUGGUAUAGUGCCGGUCACAGUGAAAGCUGCAGAUCAAGGCCUACCUCAGAGCCUGGAAUCUCACUGCACAUUCUGGGUAACCAUUGGAGACAUGAACGACAACUCGCCAAAAUUUGAUUCCCCAUCGUAUUCUACUUCACUCAGUGAGUCUUCAGCGACUGUGGGUCGACGGGUGUUUGCGGUGCGUGCGUCUGAUGCGGAUCAUGAACAGAACGCUAACAUUGUGUAUUCGCUGGUGGACAACCCGGGAAAUUUCUGCAGGAUUGAACCGGACACAGGCAUUAUUUACGUUCAGAAGAUGAUCUCCGGGAAAGACACAGUUGUGCUGAGAGUAAAGGCAGAGGACCAGGGUACACCCAAACUGAGUGCCUUUGUGACUGUGACUAUCAGCAUCACUGACCGCAACAGCAACCCACCCACCUGGGACAGCAACACAUAUGAGCGGGAAUACGAAGUGAAGGAAACUGCGCCGAUAGCUUAUGUGAUCACCUCAAUGACGGCUCAGUCAAACACCCCUGCGCCGUUAGACGGAGUGUCGUUUGGUUUGAUAGACGAGUUUGAGAACACAGUGCAGCAGUUGGGCCCAUUUAGGAUUCAGCAGCAGGGCAACAGGGUGACCUUGAUGCUCAGGGGCGUGCUAGACUUCAACGUGAAGAACAGAUACGAGCUGAGACUCAGAGUUACGAACCAAGGUCAGAACCCGCUGUCAGCAGAAAUCCGCCCGGUGAUCGUAGUGAAGGACAUGAACAAUGAGCCGCCGCAGUUUGAGGGCCUCGAUAUGACCCAGAGUAACUCGUACAAGGGCACUGUGCCAGAGAACGAGCUCCCGGGGCAGACGGUCAUACAGAUCAAGGCUGUGGAUCCCGAUCAUGAUCCCCCAAAUAAUGUGGUGCGGUACAGCCUGAUGCCAGACUCAAACGACGCCUACAUGCACUUCAACAUUGACGAGGUCACGGGGGUCAUCACGACCCGUAGUCAGUUUGACCGAGAGCAGCAGGCUGUCUACUACAUCAAGGUCAAGGCCGAGGACGGCAAGGCUUCUGAUGCCCCGGGACAUUUCCCAGAGAACACGCCCAACAGUGCCACUGCCUCGGUGCAGAUCAUGAUAUCUGACAAGAACGACAAUGCCCCGUUCUUCCUGGAGAGCUCCUACAAGGUGACUGUGCCUGAGCGACAGCCGGACAGCAACAGCCCCAUACUGACAGUGGUUGCUCGGGAUAAGGAUGAUGCUGAUCAGCUCAUGUACAGGAUCACAGAGGGCAACAUCAACAACGUGUUUGGCAUCAAGCAGAAGACUGGAGACAUCUAUGUGGCCAAGAUGCUUGACUAUGAGACUCCACCCACUGAAUACAGGCUGCGCGUGAUCGUCCAAGAUGGCCGCUAUGAGAACUCGACAGAGGUGGUAGUCACGGUAACAGAUGUUAACGACAAUCCCCCAGAGUUCUCUCAGAAGGUCUACGAGGUUGACACAGUGGUGGAGGAGACCAACCCCCCUGCCGGCGGGCAGUUCCUUGUACAGGUGUCUGCCACAGACAAAGACAUCAGCCGGCGCAGUAACUUCCGAUACUCAAUAUCUGGCGACGGCACUGACCCAAAUGACCCGACAUUCACCAUCGAGCGUACCACAGGCCGGAUAUUUCUGCGGAAACCAUUGGACCGUGACCUGCCGCAUGGUCGGGAGGUGUACCAGUUCAACGUGGAGGCCGAGGAUGAGCCUGAUACACCUCACUCGCUGACUGGAUUCUCAUAUGUGAAGGUGAAACCCCUCGAUAUUAACGACAACGCUCCCGUGUUUGUGACGAGUGAUCUCCAUGGAUCUGUUGCAGAACACUGCAAUGAAGAUCACUCAGUGAUGACCGUGCGUGCUACUGACUAUGACGCUGGACUCAACGGCACAGUGUUCUACGAGAUAGACAGCUACGGCAACCCACCUGCGUCUGCUAACGGGGAGCUGUUGUUCAAGAUCAACGGGAACACGGGACUGAUUCAAACCAGCUUGAGGAAUUCACUGGACCGUGAAAAGACGUCUCAGUAUUUCCUGCCGAUUGUUGCUAAGGACCGUGGGGAUGAGCAGCGGAAAACCACAGCAACGGCCACCAUCAGCAUCUCAGACAUUAACGACCAGCGACCACAGUUCAUUGAUAAAAUCUACCGUGUGACGAUGUCAGAGAACCAGAAGGCCGGACCAGUGAUCACAGUGACAGCCAUUGACAAGGAUAUUGACGAGAAUGCACGCCUGACUUACACUCUGAAGGACAGUGACCGAACAUACUUCUCCAUUGAGACUAUCCCACCAAAUGCGGGCGUGCUGAAAGUGUUCAAUGAAGUGGACUACGAACGUGUGCGCAGGUUCAACCUGACAGUGUAUGUACAGGACAACAAUCCGGCCCACAGGGACGAGGCCUACAUCGAGGUCACUGUGGAGGAUUACAACGACAACGCCCCACAAUUCAGCCCCAAGGUGCACAACAUUCGCCACCCAGAGAACAUACCAGCUGGGACCAGUCUGUGGAACUGCUCGGCCACCGACAAGGACGAUGGGAUCAACAAACAGUUUGAGUACAAGAUAGACCGUAAGACAGAUCCUGGUCAGAGGUUCACAGUGUCCUCUGAGUGUGAGGUCAAGGUCAAACGAGGCUUGGACGGGGAGACUCUUGAUCGAGAAGCCCUUGCCGGGAAACCAGACCAAAAAUAUGAAGUACAUGUGCUGGCUACAGAUAAAGGCUACCCCCCUCAGACAGGCACAGCUACUCUCAUCAUUUUUGUUGACGACGUUAACGACAAUGCCCCCGAGCUUGUGUACAAAGGUGUACCCAUGGUGAUGGAGCUGGAAGACCCGCCCAAGUUUGUGAUCUUGUUCAGCGCUAUCGACCGGGACACGCCACAAUUUGGCGCCCCCUUCAGGUUUGCACUGCCCCCUUGUGAGGAGAAUCCAACGUGUCAUGGCGGUGUUCUAGACUUCACCAUGCAGUUUGACGAGGACGGUGACCAUGGGCGUGGCGUUGGCAUGGUGACGGCCAUGAGGAAGUUCCACAGAGACCAGCAAAAGUACCACUACCUGCCCAUCAUCACGUCUGACAUGCGGGGAACUAACAGUCCCUUGAGUAAAACGGGAACCAGCACCCUGACCAUCGAGAUUGGAGACAUGAACAACCAUCCACACGCUGACGGGCACAAGGACAUCUUCAUAUAUAAAUACGACUUCAAAGGUGUGAAGGAUGACAUUGUGAUUGGCAACGUGUACGCACCAGACCUAGAUGAUUGGGACGUGGUGGACAAACACUAUUUCUUCAAGGGGCCGCCAGACAUGGCCAAAUAUUUCAGUGUUGACUACAACAACGGGCUGAUCAGAAUGAACAAGGAUACCCCAGCUGGCAUCUUUGAUUUCUCGGCCAAGGUGCAUGACUUUGUCGUGUUCACGCACAUCAAUGCCACGGCUACAGUGAGGGUGGUAGUUCAGGAGAUCACAGAUGAGGCUGUGUAUAGCUCGGGAUCCCUUAGAUUCACGGGCAUGACAGCAGAGGAGUUUGUAAGUCAGCCAAGCAGGGGAGGGAAGAGUCCUUACGAGAAAUUCCAGACCCUUCUUGCUGACAAACUGCGUGUGGUUCGCAGGAAUGUGGCCAUAUUCAGUGUCAUGAACGGUCCAGGGAACCGGUAUGUGGAGAUACGGUAUGCAGCACAUGGCUCCCCCUGGUACCCGGCUAGUAAGAUGGACGCCAUCGUGGCCUUGGAUAAACAUGAGUUUGAGGAUGCUGUUGGCAUAGAGAUCACCAUGGUGACUGUGGACAUGUGCCUGCUGGAGACGUGUGAGUCGGGCGGAUGUUCCAAUGUCCUCAUCGUAUCAGACCUCCCAAACUACAUCAAUGCCAACGGCACGUCAUUUGUUGGUGUGGGGACAUCUGUGGUGGCUGAGUGUGUGUGUGCUGCCACGGAAUUCUCUAAGCCAGUUGAUUGCUCACCUACUCACUGUCUGAACGGGGGACGAUGUGUAAAGGAUGAAUGGGGGGAUGUAAGAUGCUUAGACUGUCCCAAAGGCUUUGACGGGCCUCGCUGCCAGAUGACCAGUCACAGCUUCUUCAAGGGCUAUGCGCUCUACGCUGCCUUCGAACAAUGUGAGGAGAGCCACACCAGCAUAGAGUUCAUCUCCAAGUCCCCUAACGGUCUGAUCUUUUACAACGGCCCAGUGGCUGACCUGGGCCCUAACGAGCCCCUAGACUUCAUCGCCCUUUCCCUGGUGGACGGGUACCCAGAGCUGCAGGUCAACCAUGGGUCAGGGGUUAUGACCUUAACCCUGGAUGGGAGGGACCAGAGAGGUCAGCGUUAUCUGCAGAAGCUGGAUGAUGGACAGUGGCACGUGAUUGACAUUGUCAGGAAAGGAAAGACUGUGAGUCUGAUUGUUGAUCGGUGUGACAUGCUUGAUGUUGGACUGGUGAUGGACACGGCUAUGGACCGCACUCCCUGCGAGGUGACGGGUGUGACCCCCGGGGACAACAUGUACCUCAAUGUGAACACUCUGCUGCAGCUGGGGGGUCGAUAUGUGGAGCCCCGGUACCCGACCUCUGUCACUUCCAGCCGCUUUCAGGGCUGUAUGAGGAACCUGGUACACAAUGGCAAGCUCUAUGAUCUCUACACUGGCCCGUACUCUAAGGGAGAGAACCAUGCCAAUGGCUGUGCUGAGGAGGAGGAGGUGUGUGGAGUGAACUCCCUUGACAGCCCCAAAUGCGGCCCUUAUGGCUCCUGUGCACUGACUGACCUCACCAACUCCCAGUACAAAUGUACCUGCAGGCCUGGCUACAGGGACCAGGGAAGCAAACCCUGUAGUACAGCAACCACAAUUCGUGACCUCAAACUCAACAGCUUCCUGGGUUGGACCCUUAAGUACAGCUUCGUGAACUUUGACCUUCAGUCCCGCACUACAGAGCUUCAGGUGCGGUUUAGAACCCGGGACGCAGAGGGCAUACUCCUGCACCUGCCGUCCAACAUGCAGGAGUUUAUAACCCUGGAGCUGGUGAAGGGACGAGUGCAGGUUCUGUACAACCUGGGGGGUCAGGACGGUGAGUCAGCGCUGACCCUGGCACGAGCCCCAGCCAGUAACGGUCAGUGGCACACGGUCAGCCUGCGCCGCAUUGGUCGCUGGUUUGAGCUGAAGAUGGACGACGGGGAGGGCCGGUACAGGAACACGACCUGGGGACCCAUCGGUGGGCGGGAGCUGAUCACUGUCGAUAUGUACGGCAUUGUGAGCGGGGCACAUGUGGUGUUCAGUAACAACCCAAUCGUGGACAGCUUGGAUCUCAAUCAGACGUGUAUCACUGACAUUCGGCUGAACGGUAAAUGGCUGCCGAUGGUUCAGUCUGAGAACACUCAGAGCGAGGCAGCAACCCUGGAGUAUGAUCACCGCGUGGAGAUGGACUGUGUAAGGGAGGACUGUAUGGGAGUUGUCUGCCCCACUGGUGUCCCGUACGCCCCUGUCUGUGUGCCUCUUUGGGGGAAACAUGAGUGCAGAUGCCCUGCUGGCACCUACCCAAACGGCUACAACUGCCUCCCUAUCGACUACUGCGCCCGAGACACGCCCUGUUUUGACGGAGCCACAUGCAUCACCAAACCUCACCCUGAGAACUUCACAUGUGUCUGUCCCCCGCGCUGGACCGGGCGACUGUGCGAUAUCCAGGGACCUGGCCCUGUAGUGAUGGCUGGACUAACUACUAGCUUCAUCAUCAUCAUCAUUGUCAGCAUUUUUGUAGUGCUUGUGGUUGCGCUGAUGGUGUUCCUGCUGAUUCGCUACAAGAAGAGGACAGACCCAGAGAAAUACAUCCUUGAUGUGGACCCUGAGGAUGACAUUCGAGAGAAUGUGAUGAACUACAAUGAGGAAGGGGCAGGUGAGGAGGAUGAGGACGGGUAUGACAUGAGCCGUCUACGGAAACCAGGGCACAUGGACACAUUCCACGCUUAUAACCCUCUCUUCUUGAAGAAAGGCUCUGGUGAGAGACCAGACGUCGGUGACUUCAUUGAACAACGUCUUGACGACGUCGACAAUGACCCCGGUGCGCCGCCUCACGACAGCGUGCGGGAGUUCGUGUACGAGGGCGGGGGGAGCGACGCAGGCUCACUUAGCUCCCUACAGACCUCCUCCGGGUCUGAUGACCAGGAUUAUGACUAUCUCAAUGACUGGGGACCAAAGUUUUCUAAACUGGCAAAUAUGUAUGGGGGCGACGAAGACCAACAAUGAUGAUUGUGCAUUGUUUUGGUUUGUGUUUCAUUAUCGAGUGCUAAAUAGUUUUUUAACGGGUCCAGCAUUUUUAUCUUUUAUAAGGCAUUUUUAUGUUUUUACAAGUGAAAGUGAUGUGCAGGAUAAAAAUUCUGAUCUAAAUUGGUGGUGUUUUCAUGACUUUGUAUGGUGGAUCUCUAUAAAACACGAAAGUUAAGUGUGACCAAGUGUGUAUUAUGGGCUCAGUAUAAGAAAAUGUAUGACCUAUAAACUUACGAAUUUUUCAUGUGUUGCUGAGUCGGAAACAAUGUGAACAAUUGAGAUUAUGAAUGUGUGUUUUUAUAAUCACGCUGUUGUUGCUCAUUAAAAGACCAACCCACCGUUCAAUGUGAAAUGUGAAUUCAUGUUUAGAUAGUGGUGAUUAUUGUAUUGAGAUUUUUAUUGUGAAAUAUAAAUCAAUAUUUUAUAUUUACUGAAGUUGAACUAGUAGUUAAAAGAUGGUAUCAGUGUUUGCACUGGUCAGUCCUAUGAACAUGCAUAAACCAUAGUUACUCUUAAUUUUGGACACCUUCCUUUUGAGCUAAAAUUCUUAUUUUCAAGACGUGAAUUAAAAAUAUUUUAGUGUCCGAAAACUUAGAGUAAUUACAGUAAUAAUGUGUUAUAAUUGUUUUCAAAUCAAGCUUAUGUUUAGUGUUUACAAUGAGGUUGUGAGCUUUAAGUUACCAUCCAGUGAGAACUUGGCAUAAUUUGAAGCAAUAAUGUUGCUAUAUUUAUGACAGCUGUUAUUUCACUGUCUUGUAUAAAAACAACUAACGAAAAAAAUAUCGUUCAGUUUUAUAAUUGGAAAUAGUUUUCUAAUAUUGGUAAUGAACAUUUUACAGUUAUUUUAAGUUUUAGUGGAAUUUUGCUUCUAGAGAAUUACUAUGCCAUUAGUACAAGUUCAAGUUUGAAUACCUGUAUUCGGCAAACCAUUUGUGUUCUAUUUUCCAUUUACAGUCAAUUAUUAUAAAAUUUCAAAUGUAUUGAAGAUAAUCACAAGUGUUUGUUUUUCAUGUAUUUGUAACUUCAUAACAUCGAAGGUUGUGUUUAAAAAGGUAUCAUUACUAUUUAUUUUUGUAAAAACAUUUUUGCAACAUGUGUUUGCAGAAGAAAGAAUAUCUAUUGUUUAUGAAUGGUCUGCUUUAAAAUUAUGGAUGAUUAUAUGUGUUUAAGAAAAACUAUUUAUUGUGUAGUAAAUCUUUUUUUAAAUCCUCUUUGCAUUUCUAUCUUAAUUAUUCUUCUGUUACAAGCAUGUAAAUUAAUUAGCAGCAUCUAUUGCAAAAAUGGUUCUUAUGAUAUAUUUGAGCAAUGUAUCUCCAGAUAUGACGCUGCAUCCUAUACUGUGUUCUUUUUCAACAUUUUGGGAUAUUUUGCAGCGUUUGGACUAAAAUUGGGAAAUUAGUGUUGUUGCUUGUUGCUUCAAAAAUGCUUAAAAUUGAAAAUAGAAGUGUUUUUAGUCUUAUUUUAUUCACUAAGGUGAAACUUAUAUGGAUGGAUGGGAGAUAAACAAAAUGUUGAAAUCUAAAAAAAAAAAAAAAAAAUUGUUGGCAAAAAAUUCUUCAAUUGGUAAUUUUUAGGUCCCAUUUGGGAAAAAUAUAUACUUGUU
Dreissena polymorpha is the source of this 10745-nucleotide RNA transcript. It is a transcript of the gene named neural-cadherin-like, with no coding region annotated. The transcript is spliced from 38 exons. NCBI's taxonomy places the organism in Eukaryota, Metazoa, Mollusca, Bivalvia, Myida, Dreissenidae. The record is from RefSeq and is a predicted model, not a curated record.